AGUGGACGCUGGCGGUAGGCCUAACACAUGCAAGUCGAACGGCAGCACAGUAAGAGCUUGCUCUUACGGGUGGCGAGUGGCGGACGGGUGAGGAAUACAUCGGAAUCUACUUUUUCGUGGGGGAUAACGUAGGGAAACUUACGCUAAUACCGCAUACGACCUACGGGUGAAAGCAGGGGAUCUUCGGACCUUGCGCGAUUGAAUGAGCCGAUGUCGGAUUAGCUAGUUGGCGGGGUAAAGGCCCACCAAGGCGACGAUCCGUAGCUGGUCUGAGAGGAUGAUCAGCCACACUGGAACUGAGACACGGUCCAGACUCCUACGGGAGGCAGCAGUGGGGAAUAUUGGACAAUGGGCGCAAGCCUGAUCCAGCCAUACCGCGUGGGUGAAGAAGGCCUUCGGGUUGUAAAGCCCUUUUGUUGGGAAAGAAAAGCAGCAGGUUAAUACCCCGCUGUUCUGACGGUACCCAAAGAAUAAGCACCGGCUAACUUCGU
RNAcentral lists this ribosomal RNA (491 nucleotides) under uncultured bacterium. Its description in RNAcentral is "partial 16S ribosomal RNA". It matches the Rfam family "Bacterial small subunit ribosomal RNA", at positions 29 to 506 of the family's 1533-position model. The record is from RNAcentral.